AUUCCCUGUCCUUCAGUGACCUUCCUUCUCUGUUUCCCUACAUCUCUCUGGAGGGAUAUCUGAUUAAUAAUGAGGAGCUGGAGAUUUCUCUGGGCCUGGGAAUGGAGCCAGUAGUUUCCUAUCCAGGGUUGUCAUUGAGAUCGUCUGGGAUCUGCAAAGGAAGAAAAUAGGAGGAAGAGCAAGAAAGUGGAGCAUCAGUGGCUGGAGUCUCCGGCAAAUUGCUGAAGAGCUUCUGUUCUUCGUUUGCUUACGUUCUGGAUCGGGUGUGGACCUUCGGCAGCGUCGUCAGAUACAAAGGGGCCAGGGACAGACUGAAGAGAAAUCCUUGUUGUCUUUCUGUUUGGAGGUAUUUUGUUGUUGUUUGCUUUUUCCAGAACUUUUGUUUCCAUUUAGGCCUUGUGGUGACCCCUAAUGAUCUCGCCCCAGUAUUCCCCUCCUUGCAUCGUUUCCUUCCCACGUUGGGUCAGGAUUUCUCUGUGUGACCAAUAGAGUACAGCAGUGUUGGUUGUAAAAGGCACUGUACUUCUACCUUGCUCUGUGUUUUGGAUGGAUCACCGAUGGAAGCUGGCUGCCAUGAUGUGAAGACUCUUGAGCAGCUCUAUGAAGACGUCUUGGUGGAGGGGGACUGAGAGCUCCAGCCAGGGACUAGGUAAAGCAGAUGCUCCAUUCCCUUCAGAUGAUUGCAGCCACGGCCAGCUCCUGAUGCAACCUCAUGGAGAGGCUCUGAGUCAGAACACCCACCCUGGAACCACCAUACUCUUUUCGUGCAUCAUUUUACGUUCCCACCAGCAGCGCACAAGCCUUUCCAUUUCUCUACAACAUGCCAACACUCGUCUGGAGAUCAGUGCCCUUAUAAAGGAGCUCCAGAGAGCUUGCUCACCCCUUCCACCAUGCAAGGACAUGGUGAGAAGACAUUUGUCUGUGAACCAGGCAGCAGGCAUCACCAGAUGCCAAAUCUGCCAGCACCUUCUUCUCGGACUUCCCAGCCUCAAGAACCGUGAGAAAUAAAUUUCUGUUGUUCAUAAGCCACCAGUCCAUGGUAUUGUUGCAGCAGCCCAGACUGACUAUGACAGUGGACUUCGUCAGGGCAUGGCUGGUCCCCCAUUGCUGCAGCCCUCUCGUCCUCAUAGCCACAAACACUCGAUGUCCAUCAGCAGGCACAGCAGCCCCCCAGAGGAGAGACUGCUCGCCCUGGCACACAGGGCUCACUCCUACGAGAGUUUGCACCUGAGACCUGGG
RNAcentral lists this long non-coding RNA (1239 nucleotides) under Equus asinus (donkey). RNAcentral describes it as "lncRNA (ENSEASG00005033395.1)". Lineage: Eukaryota; Metazoa; Chordata; Mammalia; Perissodactyla; Equidae. The record is from RNAcentral.